CAGUCGCCGCGGGAAAACGAAGGGGGCUAGCGUUGUUCGGAAUUACUGGGCGUAAAGCGCACGUAGGCGGAUAUUUAAGUCAGGGGUGAAGUCCCAGAGCUCAACUCUGGAACUGCCUUUGAUACUGGGUAUCUUGAGUAUGGAAGAGGUGAGUGGAAUUCCGAGUGUAGAGGUGAAAUUCGUAGAUAUUCGGAGGAACACCAGUGGCGAAGGCGGCUCACUGGUCCAUUACUGACGCUGAGGUGCGAAAGCGUGGGGAGCAAACAGGAUUAGAUACCCCGGUAGUCCCUGUCUCUUAUAC
RNAcentral lists this ribosomal RNA (301 nucleotides) under uncultured bacterium. Its description in RNAcentral is "partial 16S ribosomal RNA". It matches the Rfam family "Bacterial small subunit ribosomal RNA", at positions 509 to 807 of the family's 1533-position model. The record is from RNAcentral.